RNAcentral lists this ribosomal RNA (253 nucleotides) under uncultured bacterium. Its description in RNAcentral is "partial 16S ribosomal RNA". It matches the Rfam family "Bacterial small subunit ribosomal RNA", at positions 524 to 776 of the family's 1533-position model. The record is from RNAcentral.
UACGGAGGGUGCGAGCGUUAUCCGGAAUUACUGGGUUUAAAGGGUGCGUAGGCGGCUUGUUAAGUCAGGAGUGAAAGUUUGCGGCUCAACCGUAGAAUUGCUUUUGAUACUGGCAGGCUAGAAUUAGGAUGAGGUUAGCGGAAUGUGGCAUGUAGCGGUGAAAUGCAUAGAUAUGCCAUAGAACACCAAUUGCGAAGGCAGCUGGCUAGACCUAUAUUGACGCUGAGGCACGAAAGCGUGGGGAGCGAACAGG